RNAcentral lists this ribosomal RNA (828 nucleotides) under Pseudomonas sp. RNAcentral's name for it is "bacterial SSU rRNA". It matches the Rfam family "Bacterial small subunit ribosomal RNA", at positions 88 to 916 of the family's 1533-position model. Lineage: Bacteria; Pseudomonadati; Pseudomonadota; Gammaproteobacteria; Pseudomonadales; Pseudomonadaceae. The record is from RNAcentral.
CUUGAGAGCGGCGGACGGGUGAGUAAUGCCUAGGAAUCUGCCUGGUAGUGGGGGAUAACGUUCGGAAACGGACGCUAAUACCGCAUACGUCCUACGGGAGAAAGCAGGGGACCUUCGGGCCUUGCGCUAUCAGAUGAGCCUAGGUCGGAUUAGCUAGUUGGUGGGGUAAUGGCUCACCAAGGCGACGAUCCGUAACUGGUCUGAGAGGAUGAUCAGUCACACUGGAACUGAGACACGGUCCAGACUCCUACGGGAGGCAGCAGUGGGGAAUAUUGGACAAUGGGCGAAAGCCUGAUCCAGCCAUGCCGCGUGUGUGAAGAAGGUCUUCGGAUUGUAAAGCACUUUAAGUUGGGAGGAAGGGUUGUAGAUUAAUACUCUGCAAUUUUGACGUUACCGACAGAAUAAGCACCGGCUAACUCUGUGCCAGCAGCCGCGGUAAUACAGAGGGUGCAAGCGUUAAUCGGAAUUACUGGGCGUAAAGCGCGCGUAGGUGGUUUGUUAAGUUGGAUGUGAAAUCCCCGGGCUCAACCUGGGAACUGCAUUCAAAACUGACUGACUAGAGUAUGGUAGAGGGUGGUGGAAUUUCCUGUGUAGCGGUGAAAUGCGUAGAUAUAGGAAGGAACACCAGUGGCGAAGGCGACCACCUGGACUAAUACUGACACUGAGGUGCGAAAGCGUGGGGAGCAAACAGGAUUAGAUACCCUGGUAGUCCACGCCGUAAACGAUGUCAACUAGCCGUUGGAAGCCUUGAGCUUUUAGUGGCGCAGCUAACGCAUUAAGUUGACCGCCUGGGGAGUACAGCCGCAGAUAAACUCAAAUGAUUGACGG